GCUAGUGUGGCAUAGCUGUUUGUUGGUUGGACCAUGACUCUGAAGACCAGGGUUCGAUUCCCAGCUCGAGCA
This is a non-coding RNA of Phrynosoma platyrhinos (Desert horned lizard), 72 nucleotides long. The record is from the annotation of a GenBank genome assembly. NCBI's taxonomy places the organism in Eukaryota, Metazoa, Chordata, Lepidosauria, Squamata, Phrynosomatidae.